CUUCAGCAUAUGUAAUUUUAAGAGCAUCAUGCUUUUGGAUAGACUAUACACAAGUCUACAUUAAGCAUUUUGUUAAAUUUGUAAUUUUUAUGCUAUUUCCUCUACUAUUUUUCUCAGGGAAGUUUCCAUGCACCAUAUAUCUACCCAUAUAUCUGUAGCAUAUUAACAUAUCUGUAAACCAUGGAUGGUGAUGUUCACUUGCACAGGAAAAGUAGCGGAAAGUAUCUUUAUGGAUAUGGGCCCGAAGAACAUGAGGAAGUUUCUAUGCACCAUAUAUCUACCCAUAUAUCUGUAGCAUAUUAACAGAUCUGUAAACCAUGGAUGGUGAUGUUUACUUGCACAGGAAAAGUAGCGGAAAGUAUCUUUAUGGAUGUGGGCUCGAAGAACAUGAGUUCCCAGUGUUGAAAUAGACAUUUGUAGCAGCAAGAAAGUAACAGACUCCUACUAACAUAAUUGAUAAAAUCUGAUAGAAUUACGAGGAAAUGAUGAUCUCAAACUACGCGAAAGUGUAUGUCCUUCAACACAAAUUGUAGAGAAUUAUGGGUUGAUGGUAUACAUACAUUCAACUUAAUUUUGACAUUUUGUGUCUUUCUUAAGUUUGCUGCUUUAAUGAAAGCUUCUAAAAGAUAUAACUAUG
This is a long non-coding RNA of Lycium ferocissimum, 637 nucleotides long. RefSeq lists it as uncharacterized. The record is from RefSeq and is a predicted model, not a curated record. NCBI's taxonomy places the organism in Eukaryota, Viridiplantae, Streptophyta, Magnoliopsida, Solanales, Solanaceae. The transcript is spliced from 3 exons.